ACGUGGCACGUCGCCAUUUGUGGGUGUCUGUGUUAGCGUUAUGGCGUUCUCUUCCGUCUUCCCCAACAGUCACCGUAUCUUCUUCCGCUCCCAGUCUGCGUGACCCAACUCACUACGCGUUUUCUCUUUUCAAUGGGUCUUUCUAGAAUUUUCAUGAUUUUUCUUGCUUCCAAACAUUCUUUUA
Ipomoea nil (Japanese morning glory) is the source of this 184-nucleotide long non-coding RNA. RefSeq lists it as uncharacterized. Lineage: Eukaryota; Viridiplantae; Streptophyta; Magnoliopsida; Solanales; Convolvulaceae. The transcript has 3 exons. The record is from RefSeq and is a predicted model, not a curated record.